GACGAACGCUGGCGGCGUGCCUAAUACAUGCAAGUAGAACGCACAGUUUAUACCGUAGCUUGCUACACCAUAAACUGUGAGUUGCGAACGGGUGAGUAACGCGUAGGUAACCUGCCUGGUAGCGGGGGAUAACUAUUGGAAACGAUAGCUAAUACCGCAUAAUAUUGAUUAUUGCAUGAUAAUUGAUUGAAAGAUGCUAUUGCAUCACUACCAGAUGGACCUGCGUUGUAUUAGCUAGUAGGUGAGGUAACGGAUCACCUAGGCGACGAUACAUAGCCGACCUGAGAGGGUGAUCGGCCACACUGGGACUGAGACACGGCCCAGACUCCUACGGGAGGCAGCAGUAGGGAAUCUUCGGCAAUGGACGAAAGUCUGACCGAGCAACGCCGCGUGAGUGAAGAAGGUUUUCGGAUCGUAAAGCUCUGUUGUAAGAGAAGAACGGGUGUGAGAGUGGAAAGUUCACACUGUGACGGUAUCUUACCAGAAAGGGACGGCUAACUACGUG
RNAcentral lists this ribosomal RNA (505 nucleotides) under uncultured bacterium. RNAcentral describes it as "partial 16S ribosomal RNA". It matches the Rfam family "Bacterial small subunit ribosomal RNA", at positions 28 to 507 of the family's 1533-position model. The record is from RNAcentral.